RNAcentral lists this ribosomal RNA (440 nucleotides) under uncultured bacterium. RNAcentral's name for it is "partial 16S ribosomal RNA". It matches the Rfam family "Bacterial small subunit ribosomal RNA", at positions 338 to 795 of the family's 1533-position model. The record is from RNAcentral.
CCUACGGGUGGCUGCAGUGGGGGAUAUUGCACAAUGGGGGGAACCCUGAUGCAGCGACGCCGCGUGUGGGAAGACGGUCCUCUGGAUUGUAAACCACUGUCCCCAGGGACGAAAAUGACGGUACCUGGGGAGGAAGCUCCGUCUAACUACGUGCCAGCAGCCGCGGUAAUACGUAGGGAGCGAGCGUUGUCCGGAAUUACGGGGUGUAAAGGGAGCGUAGGCGGUGAUGAAAGUUGGGUGUCAAAACUACCGGCUCAACCGGGACAUGCACUGGAAACUGGCGGGCUAGAGAGCAGGAGAGGGCGGUGGAACUCCAUGUGUAGCGGUAAAAUGCUUAGAUAUAUGGAAGAACACCAGUGGCGAAGGCGGCCGCCUGGCCUGUUACUGACGCUGAGGCACGAAAGUGUGGGGAGCAAAUAGGAUUAGAUACCCUUGUAGUC